Non-coding RNA from Potamilus streckersoni, 70 nucleotides. Lineage: Eukaryota; Metazoa; Mollusca; Bivalvia; Unionida; Unionidae. The record is from the annotation of a GenBank genome assembly.
UGGUGGCCUAAUUGGUUAGAACAUCUGCCUCAGAUGCAGAAGGGCACAGGUUUGAACCCUGGCAUAUCAA